AGAAAUAUUCACUUUCAUUCAUUUCAUUUGACACAUGCUAACAUGUUUUAUUCAGAUGCGUUCCUUAUUCUUGUCCCUUUGUCGACAGGAAAACAUUUUUUUUUUUAGGUUUUUUUUUAACUUUCCCAAUAUUCCGAAUCCACCAAAUAUGGACUAACUCUGCCGGCGAGCUGUUGUUAAAUAUGUACUUAAAAGCACCUGGUCUUUUUCCACCUAAUUUCCCAGGCGAGGGACCGUUGCCGUGACAAUCAACAACACCCGCCGUCGUCGUGUGGGUUGCAUGGACCACCCAGGAAGGACAUCUCUCUUGAGCAGGUUUGACUCUUUUAUUCUUUCAAUAACAAGCUUGUCUUUCGGUCCGGUCGCUUUUCAGCUCCUUCCCUCCUGCUCGUUCUUCGCUCUCUUCAGUCGGCUGCGUCGUUGUUGUCGUUCUCCCUUUUUAUACAGCAGGAGGAGAUUAAUUAAUUGUGUGCCGGUGUGUGUGCCACGCACCUGAUUUAGAUUGUAGUGGCGUCGCUCCCAGCAAGCCCCGCCUCUCCGAUCCGCCGCAUCCUUCGUCUCCUUGCAGCCAUCUUGGGCAGGGCUGCAGCGUGUCCUGCCCCGCCGUCGACCCGUUAGCUCUGCCUCUCCACAGUUUUAUUUUAUCUUAUUUUUUUUUUCAUUUCAUUUUUAUUGACAUCCAGCAUUUGCCCUUCCUAUGCAUUGCAUCAUAUUUACAUACAUCAUAUAUCUGUUGUCUGCCCUGUCAAUUUUGUUUGUUUGUUUAUAUCCCAACGAUGCCACCGCCUCCCACAAAAGAAAGAAACAGCAAGAAAACAAAAUACAAAUAUAUACAGAUAAAUCAUUUAAAUAAAGAAAAAGGAAAUUAAUAUUAAUAAUCUCUCUUUCAGAGAUGUGUGAAAAUUGAAAAGAUGACAGAAAAAUAAUAAAAUCUUGGGGUUCGUCACCAGCUGUUCCUGGCAUUAUUAUUUUAUUAUUAUUGUUAUAUCCUAUUAACUUAUAAAAUGUCUGAGCUGAUACUACUACUACUAUGUUUAGUACAAUUUUGUGAUUUAAAAUAAAUAAAAGUAUUUACACAAUCAGCCUAGAGUAAUUUAAAAUAAAUUAACUUUGUAUUGAAAUGAUGAACAUCAUUUAUUGUCCUAUAAUGCCUAAAAUCUGAAGACUAGGAAUCCAUCCCAUCCAUCCAUCCAUUUUCUACCGCUUAUUCCCUUUCGGGGUCGCGGGGGGCGCUGGCGCCUAUCUCAGCUACAAUCGGGCGGAAGGCAGGGUACACCCUGGACAAGUCGCCACCUCAUCGCAGGAGGACUAGGAAAAUAACCAAAAUUUUUCCUGACAAUUUUUAUUAACCAUUAUCCAACCAAAUUGUUUUAAAUUGUUUUAAAAUUGUAUUUAUUAUUUUCAUUCUUUUACAUCAUUUAUUGAUUUUAUAAUUCCACAAUAUGUUAUGGUUUUUAAAGUUUAUUAUUGUUUUUGUAAGAUUUAUAUGAUGUAUUAUUACCAGCUAUCCAUUCAUCUUCUUCCGCUUAUCCGAGGUCGGAUUGCGGGGACAGCAGCCUAAGCAGAGAAGCCCAGACUUCCCUCUCUCAGCCACUUUGUCCAGCUCAUCCCGGGGGAUCCCGAGGCGUUCCCGGGCCAGGCGGGAGACAUAGUCUUCCCAACGUGUCCUGGGUCUUCCCCGUGGCCUCCUACCAGUAGGACGUGCCUGAAACACCUCCAUAGGGAGGCGUUCGGGUGGCAUCCAGACCACCUCAUCUGGCUCCUCUCGAAGAGGGAGGGGGUCCGGUCCGAUGACCAUGGAUGAAGUACUGGCUGUCCAGAGUCGAGACCCAGGAUGGACCGCUCGCCUGUAUCGAUUGGGGACAUCUCUACGCUGCUGAUCCGCCUCCGCUUGAGAUGGUCUCCUGUGGACGGGACUCUCGCUGCUGUCUUGGAUCCGCUUUGAACUGAACUCUCGCGGCUGUGUUGGAGCCACUAUGGAUUGAACUUUCACAGUAUCAUGUUGGACCCGCUCGACAUCCAUUGCUUUCGGUCCCCUAGAGGGGGGGGGUUGCCCACAUCUGAGGUCCUCUCCAAGGUUUCUCAUAGUUAGCAUUGUCACUGGCGUCCCACUGGAUGUGAAUUCUCCCUGCCCACUGGGUGUGAGUUUUCCUUGCCCUUUUGUGGGUUCUUCCGAGGAUGUUGUAGUCGUAAUGAUUUGUGCAGUCCUUUGAGACAUUUGUGAUUUGGGGCUAUAUAAAUAAACAUUGAUUGAUUGAUUGAUUGACUUCUAGAAACUUACUUGCAGUGUAGAAGUUAAAAUUAGGGAUGCAGCAAUUAAUCGGUAACCGAAUAUAUUCGGCCGAAUAUGGCAAAAAAAGCCACAUUCGGCCUUCGUUGGAAUGAGUUAAAAACAAGGCCGAAUAGUGGCGUGUGACGCAAUUUUUUGACGCGGUGACGCAAUCAACCAACGUGCAGUGACGCGGUGACGUUGGGAUAUGUUGUAUACCUGUAUAAGUGUAAGAGGUUACAAGCACACACUUAUUGAGAUUUACUUGAGCCUUCUGUUUACAUUAUUAGCAUAUCUACUGUGGCUAAGCAGACUUUUGCCAAAAGGACAAUAAUUCAUUUGUUGUGGGUUUAUCCACUUUAAUGGACUUUUUUUUUUGGGGGGGGAAUGCAUGUUUUGUUUGAAGGCCUAAUAUAAAUGAAAAACUUUGUGCUUUUUUUGAAAAGUAAAGGCUACUGGAAUAUU
This is a long non-coding RNA of Nerophis ophidion (straightnose pipefish), 2734 nucleotides long. RefSeq lists it as uncharacterized. NCBI's taxonomy places the organism in Eukaryota, Metazoa, Chordata, Actinopteri, Syngnathiformes, Syngnathidae. The transcript has 3 exons. The record is from RefSeq and is a predicted model, not a curated record.